This is a non-coding RNA of Cinara cedri, 1941 nucleotides long. NCBI's taxonomy places the organism in Eukaryota, Metazoa, Arthropoda, Insecta, Hemiptera, Aphididae. The record is from the annotation of a GenBank genome assembly.
AGUGAGUAUACCGAACAAAGAAACAACGGAUAACAGUUUUACUGACGUUGACGUAGUUGAACGGUGUGCGAAAAUGGCUUUAUCGAAAUUACAAGUAUCGUUUUUGUUGUGCGGCCUGGCACUGUUAUCCUGCUGUUUCGUUAACGUGAGUAUAACAAUUUACGUAAUUCCUGACUAUUCAGAUCCGUUUUUUGAUGGCAAUACGAUUUUAGAAUAAUCAAUAGAAAACAAAAAAUCCCGUACUGUUUAGAUAAUAAAUAUGUAUCAAAUUCUGUACAAAUAUAAACUUAAAAUACUACGCAUUGCAUAAGCAAUGAAAAACUUAAAGGAACCUAUAGAUACAAUGAAAUUUAAAAAUUCAUUCAGCAUACAUUUUGAGUAUUUAUUUUAUUUUAUUAACUCCUCAAUAUUUCACUUAUUGGCACUCAUGUCACGCUAUACUCGAAUUUUGUUUCAUCUCUAAGUGCAACUUACGAUGAACCUACUGUUAAAUUGUUGAACAUUUUUACUGGGCCAAAAGAAAGGUACUAACAUAAUGAUCCUAUUUAUAUCACUGUUUUCAAAAUUCUAUAAUUUUUACGAUUUUCAUUAAAAUUUUAAAUAUCAAAGAACAUCAAAAAUGACUUCCUCGACGCACCAACUAGAAAUAACAAGGUAUGUGUGAUGCAAAUAAUUUAGAGCUUUCUUACUAACCAAAAGAGGGUUUACAAAACCAGAGUUUUCUGAGAAUAAAUUCUGAAAAGAGAACAUAGAACUGGGGGAGAGGGGACGGGCAACUGUUAAAAAAGCAUACUUCAAUUUUCUUCAGUUAUACCUAACCUGACAAUAAGAAUUUUAAAGUUAGUUUCAAAAAGGGCAGUUUUUUCAAUAAAUCAAUCAAUUGAUAUAAUAAUAUUGGUUUAAUUGGAACCAUUGCGAUAGCAUUACUCUUCUCUGGCCGACGCUCAUCGCUAUCAGGAUAAUAAAAACGGUUGUACGACGAUGAAAAACAUUUGACAAUUUUCCCAUUUUUAUCGGUUUUUCAAAUUUGACGAGAAAACUCUUUAGAAAAUCGAAUAACGACAUGUCUAAAGUACCUCCCUAGUAAAAUUUUCUUUUUGAAAUUAUUUUAUCAUUGAAUUCGUAGCAAAAUUAUUGGUAGAAACGUUGUGCACAGAAAAAAAGAAGACCGCAAUAUAUUUUAACUAAUAAUUUUAUUUCUUAUAUUUUCCCAUUCUUUUUCGGUUUUUCAAAUUUGAUGAGAAAACUCCUGAGAAAAUCGUAAAAUGACGUCUAUAACUACAUCUAUAAUAGCCGCGACAAAAACAGAAAGUGAAUAUAUUUUAUUGAAAACGAGUAUUGAAUGACUAUUUGGAAAUAAAAUGUAUUCGAGGAUAAGAAUAAAUAUUCCUAUAUAUUGCACCAAAGUAUUACAUUAUCUUCCUAAUAAGUAAUUUGAUUUGACAAUACUCUAAUACUUUCAUAUCUAGUUUCGCAUAAAUAAUAUUCAUAAAAUAUGUAACGUAAGUAAGGUACUCAUAAACUUUAUUGAAUUCAUCACUGGGAUUUUCAAUUAGUAAAUCACCUAUAGUUUUGUUGGUAGCCUCAAAAUUAUCACCCACUGAAUGGGCGACUCCCAAUUAUCACUACAAAACGUGAAAGUGUUUGAAUACUCAAUUUAAAAAAGUAAGCGGUAGUUCAUUUUCCAAUAAAAUACGAUCGAUAAAUAAUUAUAUUAUUUGUUUUUCAGAACGGGAUGUUGUAGAGACGGUUUUAUUAUUACGUAUUAUGGAGAAGCGGACGGAAUCAAAGGAAAACCGAAUCCAAGUUUAACGAUUUUACUUACCUAUUCGAUUGCUGUUAAGUUUUAAUUAUAGGAUGUUACGAUAAAUUAUUAUCAACAUGAUUUUCUCCUGUUAAUUAGCACGCCUGUCGUUAUGAUAUUUUUAAAUCAUCCGAAGC